GCAAGUCGAGGGGUAACAUGUCUGCUUUCAGAUGAUUACUACCGGCGCACGGGUGCGUAACGCGUAUGCAACCUACCUUAUACAGAGGGAUAUCCCCUAGAAAUUUUGAUUAAUACCUCAUAGUACUUUAAAGCCUCAUGGUUUAGAAGUUAAAACUCCGGAGGUAUAAGAGGGGCAGGAGUUAGAGUAGCGAGUGGGGGAGGUAAAGGCUAAAAAAGGCGACGAGCUAGAGGGGGUCGGAGAGGAUGAGC
This 251-nucleotide ribosomal RNA is filed under the name uncultured bacterium. RNAcentral's name for it is "partial 16S ribosomal RNA". It matches the Rfam family "Bacterial small subunit ribosomal RNA", at positions 57 to 305 of the family's 1533-position model. The record is from RNAcentral.